Molecule: ribosomal RNA, 230 nt
Filed under: uncultured bacterium
Lineage: Bacteria
Description: partial 16S ribosomal RNA
Rfam family: Bacterial small subunit ribosomal RNA
Source: RNAcentral
UGAGCAAUCUGCCCUUCUCAUCGGAAUAAGCGUUGGAAACGACGUCUAAUGCCGAAUAUGACCUCCUUUCGCAUGAUCGGAGGUGGAAAGCUCCGGCGGAGAAGGAUGAGCUCGCGGCCUAUCAGCUAGUUGGUGUGGGUAAUGGCCCACCAAGGCGACGACGGGUAGCCGGCCUGAGAGGGUGACCCGGCCACACUGGGACUGAGACACGGCCCAGACUCCGUAGGGAG